GACGGUCACACCGCGGCGGGUUUCUAUGAUGACCGGAUAUUCCUAAGUCUUCGCACAUCAGGGCCACAGCCCCAACCUCACAGGAAACAGGCAGCCAGCAGAGGACUUCAAAAGAACCUUGGUCUCCAACAUCUUUUAUCUUAACCUGAACAUUUCCUCUCUAUUGAUCCCAGGUAUUUUUAGACAAACUCAACCAAUUCUAAUCAGAAAAUGUUUAAAUUUACCUGUAGCCUGGAAGCUCUCACUUUGAGUUGUCCCACCUUUCUGAACAAAAUUAUUGCAUCUUUUAAAUGUGUUUGAUUGAUGUCUAAUGCCUCCCUAAAAUGUCUAAGAAGAAGCUGUUCCCCAUCACCUUGGACAUAUGUUCUCAGGACCUCCUGAGAGUUGUGUCAUGGGCCA
Molecule: long non-coding RNA, 399 nt
Filed under: Pan troglodytes (chimpanzee)
Lineage: Eukaryota; Metazoa; Chordata; Mammalia; Primates; Hominidae
Description: long non-coding RNA NONPTRT008613
Source: RNAcentral